GAAUUAAAGGAAAGAGAAGUCUUAUCUAAGAAAGUUGUNGGAAUUCUUUAAAUUCUUUUUCUUAAUUUCCUUUCUCUUCAGAAUAGAUUCUUUCAACAAGUAAUUUGUAGUAAUGACUGUGUUGACUUCAAUUUUUGGAGUGUAGUAGCUAUGUUAAAGAUUAACUAUUUGGUCUUAUUGAAGCCAACACAGAACUUGCUGCUGUGUUUUUUCUUCAGUGAUAAAUAAAAUACUUACAGAAUUUGUUUUAGUGUUGAUUUGUGAUCGUAAAGUGUUAUAUAAUGGUAAGUUUGCAUUUUCAGCUGAAGUUUAUUUUACUUGAGUUUGUAUCAGUGCCAUUAAAUGUCUCAAUGUUCAAUAUCAAAGAAAAAAGAAAACAACCUUAAUUAUAACACAGAAAGCAAAUGCAGCUAGGGCAUUUCCUAUAAAGUGCCCUCCUUUCUUAACUGAAACUCCUUAAUUUCACCUGGUGGGGGGCAUGACUUAAUUUUAGAGAAUGUUAUUUACUAAAUUUUAGUGGCUGUGGGCACGGGAAAUUUGAUUGUUACUGAGCACUGUUGAGAGUUCCUGUUGGUACAGUUACAAGGCCAGAAGAGGGACUGUUGAUGCUUUUUGACUUAAUCAGAUGCAGCUUUUCUGUUAUCAGUGAUCAGUUUUAAACACUUCAUUUCUGGUGUAUGAAACAUGUGGAAGUCUUAAAAGCUCUUCUGUGAGAAUCUUUUCUUUCAUAAAAAGAUCAGUGAUUAUCUGGGGCAAUGA
This 759-nucleotide long non-coding RNA is filed under the name Marmota monax (woodchuck). The record is from RNAcentral. Lineage: Eukaryota; Metazoa; Chordata; Mammalia; Rodentia; Sciuridae.